This is a non-coding RNA of Acanthosepion pharaonis, 96 nucleotides long. NCBI's taxonomy places the organism in Eukaryota, Metazoa, Mollusca, Cephalopoda, Sepiida, Sepiidae. The record is from the annotation of a GenBank genome assembly.
UUACGGCUAUAUCACGUUAAAACACCAGUUCUCGUACGAUCAGAGAAGUUAAGCAACAUCGAGCCUAAGUAAGUACCUCGAUGGGUAACCUUGUGG